AGAGACAGAGGACCCAGUGGUGGACAUUUUAUCCUCUGAUGCCCCCAUGAGAGUGGCCCUCCCCUUUAUACGGACGAUCCAGGCCAAUGCCAAUACGAUCUGGCAGUCUCUGGCCUCGGUCCCACCUGCUGCCUGGAAAGGCGUCGAGAGAAAGA
Chelonoidis abingdonii (Abingdon island giant tortoise) is the source of this 155-nucleotide non-coding RNA. The record is from RefSeq and is a predicted model, not a curated record. Lineage: Eukaryota; Metazoa; Chordata; Testudines; Testudinidae.